RNAcentral lists this ribosomal RNA (434 nucleotides) under uncultured bacterium. Its description in RNAcentral is "bacterial SSU rRNA". It matches the Rfam family "Bacterial small subunit ribosomal RNA", at positions 954 to 1392 of the family's 1533-position model. The record is from RNAcentral.
GCUUAACGCGAAGAACCUUACCUAGACUUGACAUCUCCUGAAUUACCGGUAAUGCGGGAAGCCCUUCGGGGCAGGAAGACAGGUGGUGCAUGGUUGUCGUCAGCUCGUGUCGUGAGAUGUUGGGUUAAGUCCCGCAACGAGCGCAACCCUUAUUGUUAGUUGCUACCAUUCAGUUGAGCACUCUAGCGAGACUGCCGGGGUUAACUCGGAGGAAGGUGGGGAUGACGUCAAAUCAUCAUGCCCCUUAUGUCUAGGGCUACACACGUGCUACAAUGGCGAGUACAAAGAGAUGCGAUACCGCGAGGUGGAGCCAAACUCAAAAACUCGUCCCAGUUCGGAUUGUAGGCUGAAACUCGCCUACAUGAAGCCGGAGUUGCUAGUAAUCGCGAAUCAGAAUGUCGCGGUGAAUACGUUCCCGGGUCUUGUACACACCG